CUUCCACCCAAAAAGCACAGUCCUGGGUGGUGGCGAAAGGGGUGAGCAUGGAGGUGCCAAAUGACCGGAUUGGUGGGGCUGAGCCAGAAUUCCAGAGCAGAGGAAAGCUGAAAAUGCCUCCACCCAAAUAACGCCAUCCUGUGUGAUGGGGAAAGGGGUGAGCAAGGAGGUACCAAAUGACCAAGUAGAGGGGUUGCGUGGG
Non-coding RNA from Pelobates cultripes (western spadefoot toad), 202 nucleotides. NCBI's taxonomy places the organism in Eukaryota, Metazoa, Chordata, Amphibia, Anura, Pelobatidae. The record is from the annotation of a GenBank genome assembly.